This 2437-nucleotide long non-coding RNA is filed under the name Mytilus galloprovincialis (Mediterranean mussel). The record is from RNAcentral. Lineage: Eukaryota; Metazoa; Mollusca; Bivalvia; Mytilida; Mytilidae.
CGGAUUUAAAGACAACAUAGUGAAAUGUGAACACUGUACAAGGAGUUUUAGCUGCAAAAACUGCACGUCAAAGAUAGACCAUAUCAGGAGACAAGAUCAAGCCCUAAAGAUGAAGGAUCAAACUAUACAAAGUGAGUAUGUGUUUGUAACAGUCACAUAACUGAUGUCAAACCAUAACUAUAAUUAUAAAGAAGAAUGAUAUCCUAGAACAAUUAAAAAAAUCAUGCAUCAACGAGAAACCGACAACAGUAUGGACAUUAGAGAAAAACAAAACAAUUCUUUGAACUGAAAUCAGAACAACACGAACUCAAUCGGAAACUACGAAUUAUCUAUCAUGCUUCAGAUGGGUUAAACGUUACACAAUAGUGAAAGUAUUAACCGAUGAUAACACUUUCGGGAAAACAGGAUGGCUUGUGUCUACGACAAGUUUAACAUUUCAGUAGUAAACUUCAAUAUAAAUAAACCAAUUCAUCAUGUUAGUUAUGAUAUUAGAAACCGUUACAAUGAUAUGCUAAAAAUGAUUUCCUAGUUAUUUCGAAGUGUUAAUAAUAAUUAUUAAUUAUAACAUGACGUCCUUCAAACGCUUUGAGUACAUACCCGUGAUAAAAUAUGAAUAUAGUUCAUGGACUAUUCCGAUUGUACUCCCACGUCUUAUGCUUUUUGAUGAAUGAGCUUCCCGACGUCAUAGAACGAUGACGUAAGAAUAUAAGCAUUUUACGGGAAAAUUCACGCUUAUGAAACCGAUAAUCAUCACAAAAAGGAAACGUCCAUUUUUUUUAAAACAUAUAAGACAUUUUAGUAAAUUAUUAUUAAAUUCAUCCAAAAUUACCUUAAUACGUUAUUGUAAAUAGGUUAGGCAUGUCACAAAUUAAGUCGCUCCUUUCUUUUACGUCAAUUCAAUAGUGCGUUUAUUUAUGGGAACGGCAAAUAUUUGCCUCCAUCUAGAGCGGUUCGAUCCAAAAGAAUUGCCGUAUUGUCCUAUUAGAAUCGAAAUAAUUCAUGGGGCUUGAAUAUAUCGUGAUUUUACCACGGGUUGUCCCUUUAUGCCGAUAUUUUAUCCCUCGCUAUCGCUAAGGGUAAAAUAUUUGGCAUAAAGGGCCAACCCGAGGUAAAGUCACGAUAUAUUCAAGCCCCCAUGAAUUAUUUCUUAAUUAAACAACAAAUGUGUUCACAACUUUACUUAUUUUCCAACACAAGGGUUAGAGAUGGCAUUGACGAAGAGAGAGAAAGAAAUGGUUGAAGGUAGGAUUUACUUUGAUAAUGUAAUUCUUAGUCCUAUAAUAAAUAUCAUUUUGCCUUCGUUCAAAUGAGAAAAACAAAGAAAACACUUAAAGAGGAAAAUGUACAGGUUGCUCAACUUUACUUAAGUUUAAUUGAAAAUCCACAAUAAGACAAUUUGCAGAUGUUGUGACCAGCUUGCAGAGAAGCCGACUCCUAUUUUUUGAAAAGCAAAAGUUGAAUGCCUAGUUAAAUGCCAAUAAAAUAAUACUUAUUACUGCAACUACUUUAUUGUGUGGUUAUAUUUUAAUGCAGUUAAAAUAAUGCCAACAUAUCAUUUAGUUGUUUUAAAAUGUUGAAUCGCCAGUCCUACUUUUUACGAAUUUUUCAUUAAAAUGGAGUUGAAAGGAUAACUAAGGGUUACAGAAUAUCACAACGACUAACGUACGUUUAAGAAUAAAAUAUUACAUGGCUUAUGUUAAUACACCAUAAAUGACUCACGAUCAAUGUAAAAAGAUUAAAGUCAGAUCUAACUAUAUUCAUUUAAAUUGAAUAGCCGAUUACUUAUACUAAAUCAAUUACCAAUUUCAGAAAUUGUGUGCUUUGAACAAAAUCUAUACAGCUUACGAUCUUUUACUUUCAUGGACGAAUUUCAUCUUAUUAUCAACAAAUAUACCUAUUGUUACUUAGAAUAUUAUUGUUUAUGACAUAAUUUCUGAGUGUUGAUUAACAUUAAAAGAGCAAUAUUAUUAAACCGCUGUUCAAUAGUCCUAAAUCGAUUAGGCGGAAGAUAUAUGCAUGGCAGGAAACGCUUUCCUCUUCGACACAUUCGGCAUAGCUCAUUUAAAGUUCAAGCUAUUCUAUUGAAUUAGCUUUUCAUUACUAUUUUUAUCAUGAUAAUGAAUCUAUGAGACUGACGUUAAAGUUGCUUCUUAUUUCCAAUGAAAGAUAUAUUGCUUAAAGUUAAAUAGUUUAUAUCAUUAGAAUAUAAUACAUUUUUCAUGAUAACAUCAUCUUCAUUUUUUGGCUCAGGAUAAUAGUUAAAAUGUUUCUAGUUUUUUCUUUUGAUUAUAUCAACCUGUGUUUGAUAUAGUUCUGUUUUGUUUUUUAGUGGUGAUUCUCAGUACAUGCAGUAUUUUGCAAUUUUAUAAACUGUCUAUAUUGUUAAAUCGUGUCAUGGAUUUGUUCUUGUAGGUGAUGAAUCUGAUUACAAAUCUUA